Long non-coding RNA from Oreochromis aureus, 383 nucleotides. RefSeq lists it as uncharacterized. The transcript has 4 exons. The record is from RefSeq and is a predicted model, not a curated record. Lineage: Eukaryota; Metazoa; Chordata; Actinopteri; Cichliformes; Cichlidae.
GAGACAGAUCCGAGCAAAACAGUGCAUGAACAAGACAAAACAAUUAAGAGAGGCGUAGCAUCUUAGACAAUAGUUCCUGAUAACAGCGUACAAUUUGUAAUCAAUUACCUGACGAUCCAUUGGUGUGAGCAUGGAACAAGAGACUUAAUGUUUGGCCAGUCAAAGCAUACCAAGAGUUGGUCGCGGACAGCCAUACAUCUCCAAGCCCAGAGGCAAGUAGCGCUCCUCCAGCCCUAAGACGUCAUCGCCUUGUCCAGCCAGUAGUGAAACCCAAAAAGGAGAUGAGGAACCACCUCGGAAGCCCCAAAGUGCCAGACUCUCUGCGAUAAAGGGGGGGGGGAAGGCAUAGCAGGCAUCCACUGAGACCAGGAAAAACCCCGGCU